RNAcentral lists this ribosomal RNA (489 nucleotides) under Bacillus licheniformis. RNAcentral's name for it is "bacterial SSU rRNA". It matches the Rfam family "Bacterial small subunit ribosomal RNA", at positions 262 to 743 of the family's 1533-position model. Lineage: Bacteria; Bacillati; Bacillota; Bacilli; Caryophanales; Bacillaceae. The record is from RNAcentral.
GGCUCACCAAGGCAACGAUGCGUAGCCGACCUGAGAGGGUGAUCGGCCACACUGGGACUGAGACACGGCCCAGACUCCUACGGGAGGCAGCAGUAGGGAAUCUUCCGCAAUGGACGAAAGUCUGACGGAGCAACGCCGCGUGAGUGAUGAAGGUUUUCGGAUCGUAAAGCUCUGUUGUUAGGGAAGAACAAGUACCGUUCGAAUAGGGCGGUACCUUGACGGUACCUAACCAGAAAGCCACGGCUAACUACGUGCCAGCAGCCGCGGUAAUACGUAGGUGGCAAGCGUUGUCCGGAAUUAUUGGGCGUAAAGGGCUCGCAGGCGGUUUCUUAAGUCUGAUGUGAAAGCCCCCGGCUCAACCGGGGAGGGUCAUUGGAAACUGGGGAACUUGAGUGCAGAAGAGGAGAGUGGAAUUCCACGUGUAGCGGUGAAAUGCGUAGAGAUGUGGAGGAACACCAGUGGCGAAGGCGACUCUCUGGUCUGUAUSAA